This 468-nucleotide ribosomal RNA is filed under the name uncultured bacterium. RNAcentral's name for it is "partial 16S ribosomal RNA". It matches the Rfam family "Bacterial small subunit ribosomal RNA", at positions 28 to 507 of the family's 1533-position model. The record is from RNAcentral.
GACGAACGCUGGCGGCGUGCUUAACACAUGCAAGUCGAACGGAAAGGCCCUGCUUUUGUGGGGUGCUCGAGUGGCGAACGGGUGAGUAACACGUGAGUAACCUGCCCUUGACUUUGGGAUAACUUCAGGAAACUGGGGCUAAUACCGGAUAGGAGCUCCUGCUGCAUGGUGGGGGUUGGAAAGUUUCGGCGGUUGGGGAUGGACUCGCGGCUUAUCAGCUUGUUGGUGGGGUAGUGGCUUACCAAGGCUUUGACGGGUAGCCGGCCUGAGAGGGUGACCGGCCACAUGGGGACUGUAAUACGGCCCAGACUCCUACGGGAGGCAGCAGUGGGGAAUAUUGCACAAUGGGCGGAAGCCUGAUGCAGCAACGCCGCGUGCGGGAUGACGGCCUUCGGGUUGUAAACCGCUUUCGCCUGUGACGAAGCGUGAGUGACGGUAAUGGGUAAAGAAGCACCGGCUAACUACGUG